Molecule: non-coding RNA, 156 nt
Filed under: Clostridium sp.
Lineage: Bacteria; Bacillati; Bacillota; Clostridia; Eubacteriales; Clostridiaceae
Also listed under: 1 other name
Description: GlcN6P sequence
Rfam family: glmS glucosamine-6-phosphate activated ribozyme aptamer
About the family: This entry contains a glucosamine-6-phosphate activated ribozyme that is found in the mRNA for GlmS. GlmS is an enzyme that uses fructose-6-phosphate and glutamine to generate glucosamine-6-phosphate. The ribozyme catalyses self cleavage of the glmS mRNA that is thought to regulate GlmS activity.
Source: RNAcentral
UAAAGUAUUAAAGCGCCAGAACUUGAGUCUAGGCUUAAGUUGACGAGGUUGGGGAGUAUCGAGAUUUUCGGCGGAUGCCCCACGGUAGCACACUACCGUUAAACAUUGAUAAAACCGCAAAGUGAUUUGUGGCACAAAAUCAAUGGGGUGUGAUUC